AGCGAACGCUGGCGGCAGGCCUAACACAUGCAAGUCGAACGGAUCCUUCGGGAUUAGUGGCUGACGGGUGAGUAACACGUCGGAACGUUCCCUUUGGUUCGGAACAACUCUGGGAAACUUGAGCUAAUACCGGAUGUGCCCUUCUGGUGAAAGAUUUAUCGCCAUUGGUGCGGCCCGCGUCUGAUUAGCUAGUUGGUGAGGUAACGGCCCACCAAGGCGACGAUCAGUAGCUGGUCUGAGAGGAUGAUCAGCCACACUGGGACUGAGACACGGCCCAGACUACUACGGGAGGCAGCAGUGGGGAAUCUAGCGAAAUGGGCGAAAGCCUGAAGCAGCCAUGCCGCGUGAAUGAUGAAGGUCUUAGGAUUGUAAAAUUCUUUCAGCGGGGACGAUAAUGACGGUACCCGAAGAAGAAGCUCCGGCUAACUUCGUG
This 433-nucleotide ribosomal RNA is filed under the name uncultured bacterium. RNAcentral describes it as "partial 16S ribosomal RNA". It matches the Rfam family "Bacterial small subunit ribosomal RNA", at positions 29 to 507 of the family's 1533-position model. The record is from RNAcentral.